AACGAACGCUGGCGGCAUGCCUAACACAUGCAAGUCGAACGAAUGGUUUCGGCCAUUAGUGGCGCACGGGUGAGUAACGCGUGGGAAUCUGCCCAGCAGUGGGGGAUAACCUCUGGAAACGGAGGCUAAUACCGCAUACGCCCCUCGGGGGAAAGGGCUUGCUGCUGCUGGAGGAGCCCGCGUCGGAUUAGGUAGUUGGUGGGGUAACGGCCUACCAAGCCUGUGAUCCGUAGCUGGUCUGAGAGGAUGAUCAGCCACACUGGGACUGAGACACGGCCCAGACUCCUACGGGAGGCAGCAGUGGGGGAAUAUUGGACAAUGGGCGCAAGCCUGAUCCAGCAAUGCCGCGUGAGUGAUGAAGGCCUUCGGUUGUAAAGACUCUUUCGCCCACGACGAUGAUGACGGUAGUGGGA
Molecule: ribosomal RNA, 413 nt
Filed under: uncultured bacterium
Lineage: Bacteria
Description: bacterial SSU rRNA
Rfam family: Bacterial small subunit ribosomal RNA
Source: RNAcentral